This 497-nucleotide ribosomal RNA is filed under the name uncultured bacterium. Its description in RNAcentral is "partial 16S ribosomal RNA". It matches the Rfam family "Bacterial small subunit ribosomal RNA", at positions 28 to 507 of the family's 1533-position model. The record is from RNAcentral.
GAUGAACGCUGGCGGCGUGCCUAAUACAUGCAAGUCGAGCGAACAGACGAGGAGCUUGCUCCUCUGACGUUAGCGGCGGACGGGUGAGUAACACGUGGAUAACCUACCUAUAAGACUGGGAUAACUUCGGGAAACCGGAGCUAAUACCGGAUAAUAUAUUGAACCGCAUGGUUCAAUAGUGAAAGACGGUUUUGCUGUCACUUAUAGAUGGAUCCGCGCCGCAUUAGCUAGUUGGUAAGGUAACGGCUUACCAAGGCAACGAUGCGUAGCCGACCUGAGAGGGUGAUCGGCCACACUGGAACUGAGACACGGUCCAGACUCCUACGGGAGACAGCAGUAGGGAAUCUUCCGCAAUGGGCGAAAGCCUGACGGAGCAACGCCGCGUGAGUGAUGAAGGUCUUCGGAUCGUAAAACUCUGUUAUUAGGGAAGAACAAAUGUGUAAGUAACUAUGCACGUCUUGACGGUACCUAAUCAGAAAGCCACGGCUAACUACGUG